This 702-nucleotide ribosomal RNA is filed under the name uncultured Rhodoplanes sp. Its description in RNAcentral is "bacterial SSU rRNA". It matches the Rfam family "Bacterial small subunit ribosomal RNA", at positions 28 to 776 of the family's 1533-position model. Lineage: Bacteria; Pseudomonadati; Pseudomonadota; Alphaproteobacteria; Hyphomicrobiales; Nitrobacteraceae. The record is from RNAcentral.
AGCGAACGCUGGCGGCAGGCUUAACACAUGCAAGUCGAGCGCCGUAGCAAUACGGAGCGGCAGACGGGUGAGUAACACGUGGGAACGUACCUUUUGGUUCGGAACAACACAGGGAAACUUGUGCUAAUACCGGAUAAGCCCUUACGGGGAAAGAUUUAUCGCCGAAAGAUCGGCCCGCGUCUGAUUAGCUAGUUGGUGAGGUAACGGCUCACCAAGGCGACGAUCAGUAGCUGGUCUGAGAGGAUGAUCAGCCACACUGGGACUGAGACACGGCCCAGACUCCUACGGGAGGCAGCAGUGGGGAAUAUUGGACAAUGGGCGCAAGCCUGAUCCAGCCAUGCCGCGUGAGUGAUGAAGGCCCUAGGGUUGUAAAGCUCUUUUGUGCGGGAAGAUAAUGACUGUACCGCAAGAAUAAGCCCCGGCUAACUUCGUGCCAGCAGCCGCGGUAAUACGAAGGGGGCUAGCGUUGCUCGGAAUCACUGGGCGUAAAGCGCACGUAGGCGGACUCUUAAGUCGGUGGUGAAAUCCUGGAGCUCAACUCCAGAACUGCCUUCGAUACUGGGAGUCUCGAGUUCGGGAGAGGUGAGUGGAACUGCGAGUGUAGAGGUGAAAUUCGUAGAUAUUCGCAAGAACACCAGCGGCGAAGGCGGCUCACUGGCCCGAUACUGACGCUGAGGUGCGAAAGCGUGGGGAGCAAACAGG